RNAcentral lists this microRNA precursor (114 nucleotides) under Gossypium hirsutum (cotton). RNAcentral's name for it is "miR3476 stem-loop (ghr-MIR3476)". The record is from miRBase by way of RNAcentral. Lineage: Eukaryota; Viridiplantae; Streptophyta; Magnoliopsida; Malvales; Malvaceae.
UAUCUUGAUUUGAACUGGGUUUGUUGGCUGCUGAUCUGCUUUUUUGAAGCAGAUAUCAAAUCUAGUUAAUAAAACACUUUUCAGGAGCCAACAACAUCAGUUCUAACCAGGACU